This is an RNA transcript of Pistacia vera, 2961 nucleotides long. It is a transcript of the gene named PHD finger protein ALFIN-LIKE 4-like, with no coding region annotated. NCBI's taxonomy places the organism in Eukaryota, Viridiplantae, Streptophyta, Magnoliopsida, Sapindales, Anacardiaceae. The record is from RefSeq and is a predicted model, not a curated record. The transcript is spliced from 3 exons.
AAAAGCUCCAGCGAACCAUCUAAACUAGCUAUGCCGUCUGGAUCCCCAACCCUAAACAACGCAUUUUACACCCCAGACAGAAGACCGCUGGUCGCCGCCAUAACUUCCCUUCUCCAACACCUAAACCCACAAAACCAUAACUUCAAAAAUUUCACUUCAAACUCUCUUAACCAAUUCUCCCAUCACCUAGACAGUAAGCUAGUCAUCAAAGUCAUCCAAAACCAAACCAACCCAUUUCAUGCUCUUUUCUUCUUCAACUGGGCGGCAGAUCCUAACCCUAACCCCAACAAUUAUACCCAUUCUCACUUAUGCUAUAAAGCCAUCAUUGACACUUUGCUCUCUCACUCCCUCUUGUCCACAGCCACUUCACUCCUUCAACAAUCUAGUAAGCUCUCUGAUUUCUUCAUUGGUAAAAUCAUCAAAGCUUAUGGUGAUUGCGGCAAUUUUAAAGCUGCAAUCUUUUGGUUUAACCAAGCUAAAAGCAUUGAAAAUGGGAAGUGUUUGUUUUCAUACAAUUCAAUAUUGGGGGUUUUGGUUAGAGGAAAUCGGAUGAAAUUAGCUGAGGCUUUUUUUGAUCAAAUGUUUAAGGAUAAUAUGGUGCAACCUGAUGUUUCAACUUAUACAACGAUGAUUAGGGGAUAUUGUAAAAUGGGUAUGAUAGAAAAUGCUAGAAAGGUGUUUGAUGAAAUGAUGGUUGAGCCUAAUUUAGUUACUUAUAAUACUAUGAUGAAUGGGUUCUGUAAAAAAGGUGAUAUGAAGAGUGCAGGAUCGAUUUUGAAUCGGAUGAUGACGAGUGAAGAUUGCUUGCCUGACACGGUUACUUAUACUACUUUGAUUGAUGGGUAUUGUAAGAGUGGUGAGUUAGAAGAGGCAAUGAAGUUUAUGGAUGAGAUGGUGAGAAGGGGUUGCCAGCCAAAUGUGUUGACAUAUAAUGCGUUGAUUUAUGGUCUGAGUUUGAGAGGAUAUGUCACUCAGGCGAAGAUUAUGGUUACAAAGAUGAGAUUAGAUGGAUUGAAGGAUAAUAUUUCCACUCACAACAGUAUAUUAAAGGGGCUUUGCAUUGUGGGGAAGUUAGAGCAGGCUGGUAUAUAUCUUAAGCACAUGACUAAGUCUAAUAUGAAGCCGGAUGUGAUAUCAUAUCGGGUUGUUAUUAAUGGCUAUUGCAAAAUGGGGAAAUCGGAUGAAGCCAUAUCGCUCUUGAAGGAAAUGCAAGCAGGAGGCAUCAAGCCGAAUGUUUCAAGUUUCAAUGAUGUGUUUAGGAUUCUUGUGGGAAAUGAGGAGCUUGAUAGAGCUAUUUUACUUCUAAAUAAGAUGCCUAAAAUGGGUUGCCCGCCUAAUUUCAUCUCAUAUAGCACAAUAAUAUGUGGUCUUUGUAUGGCUAAAGGUCGGAUGCAAGAAGUUGAAGGGCUUCUUGAUGCCAUGUUUAGAAGUGGUCACAACAUUGAUGCCACCAUGUAUAGUUGCUUGCUAAAAGGAUAUUGUGAGGAUGGUAACUUGGAAGCGGCAAUGCGAAUUGCAUAUGAAAUGGUCAGCAAGAAAUUUGUAAUCAAUCUGGAGAGCAUUUCAAUUCUUUUCAAGGAGUUGUGUGCAAAGAUGAAAUUUACUGAAGCUGAAACACUUUUUGAAAUGUGCGUCAGAUGUCCUGUAGAUGAUAAGGAUAAUUACAGAAGGAUCUUAGAUGAGCAAAUAUGUAUUAUGCAAGGGAUUCGUAAUGAAUAUGGACAGAAUUCUUGACGAUUACAAAAAAUAUAAAUCUUAUUAACAAUUGUGUAACAAUUUUUUUGUUUUCAUUAACAGCAGUGUGGAAUCUGAUAUUGCUUUUAAGUUUUGUGUCCAUUAACCUGGGAGUUGGAGUAGAACUCAUGGCUGCAAGGUAUGUAGUCAGUGUUGCAAAUACAAGUUUUUGUCCUGUAAAUAAACUUGUACAGUUCCAUUCAUCUUUUGAUGAUCAAUGGCAGUGCUUUGACCAUGUUGAUUCCGAUAUCACAAGCAUUUCCAACAUUAGCUAAUUUCAUGACAAACAAAUUUCUCAGAAUGGAGCUUUGUUCUUUAUGUCAUGUCAAUGCAGGUGCUAUGAUGUUACCAAAUGAUAGAAGCCUGAUACGCAGUAAGCUUUUGCUUUGCCAGCAUAGAAGAGAUUUGCUUAAUUUCAACAUCUAGAGCGUGUUUGAAAUUUUAUUCUCUAAGUAGAGGCUCGAAAACACGUGUCCUCUUAUCACAAUAUCUCUUCAUAUAUAUGGUUCGUUUUCACACGAACUGUGGCCCACAUGAUCGAGGACGUGGGAAGAUCUGGAUGGCAAAGUCCCCCAGGUCGCAUCAUACAUGCUGUGCAACCCACUACUUCUUGGCUCACAUCAUCGCUCCUCAAAUUCAUCUUUUCUACUUCAAUUAAGAUACAAAUUUCUAAUUAUUAAUCUUGUUUAACCCAACGUUAAUUAAACUGUGUUAUGAAAUUAACACUUUAUUUUUAUUUUUAUGAAUUUGGAUAGUAAUUGGGCCGAAACCGAAUCCCAUAGAAUCACGGAUUCUUGCCAUAUUUAUAAAAUCCCGUUAAUUAAUUCACUUUCGUUCCGAUUCAAAUCCACACACCACCCUCUCUCUCUCUCUCUCUCUCUCUCUCUCUCUCUCUCACACAGUAAAAAAAUAUUCACAUCUUUCCCUCCUUUACUCUCGCACUCUCUUUUGUACAGAAGGAGAAGACUAAACUUUGGAGUUGAUUGGGCGAUGGACGCAGCCGCUGCUUACAAUCCACGUACGGUGGAAGAAGUCUUUCGAGAUUUCAAAGGCCGACGAGCUGGCAUGAUUAAAGCCCUUACUUCUGAUGUUGAAGAGUUCUACCAGCAGUGUGACCCUGAGAAGGAAAAUCUUUGCCUGUAUGGAUUUCCCAGUGAGCAGUGGGAGGUGAAUUUACCUGCUGAAGAGGUGCCUCCAGAGCUUCCAGAGCCUGCACUGGGUAUAAAC